GGCUGCAUGGCUGUCGUCAGCUCGUGUCGUGAGAUGUUCGGUUAAGUCCGCUAACGAGCGCAACCCUCGCUGUGUGUUAUAUGUGUCACACGGGACUGCCGGUCUUAAGCCGGAGGAAGGUGGGGAUGAUGUCAAGUCAGCAUGGCCUUUAUAUCCUGGGCUACACACACGCUACAAUGGCCAACACAAUAGGUUGCUAAGCCGCGAGGUGGCGCCAAUCCAUAAAGUUGGUCUCAGUUCAGAUUGUAGGCUGCAACCCGCCUGCAUGAAGAUGGAGUUGCUAGUAACCGCAGGUCAGCUAUACUGCGGUGAAUACGUUCCCGGGGCUU
RNAcentral lists this ribosomal RNA (329 nucleotides) under uncultured Leptolinea sp. Its description in RNAcentral is "bacterial SSU rRNA". It matches the Rfam family "Bacterial small subunit ribosomal RNA", at positions 1039 to 1382 of the family's 1533-position model. The record is from RNAcentral. Lineage: Bacteria; Bacillati; Chloroflexota; Anaerolineae; Anaerolineales; Anaerolineaceae.